This 465-nucleotide ribosomal RNA is filed under the name Vreelandella stevensii. Its description in RNAcentral is "partial 16S ribosomal RNA". It matches the Rfam family "Bacterial small subunit ribosomal RNA", at positions 338 to 795 of the family's 1533-position model. The record is from RNAcentral. Lineage: Bacteria; Pseudomonadati; Pseudomonadota; Gammaproteobacteria; Oceanospirillales; Halomonadaceae.
CCUACGGGGGGCAGCAGUGGGGAAUAUUGGACAAUGGGGGCAACCCUGAUCCAGCCAUGCCGCGUGUGUGAAGAAGGCCCUCGGGUUGUAAAGCACUUUCAGUGAGGAAGAACGCCUGGUGGUUAAUACCCAUCAGGAAAGACAUCACUCACAGAAGAAGCACCGGCUAACUCCGUGCCAGCAGCCGCGGUAAUACGGAGGGUGCGAGCGUUAAUCGGAAUUACUGGGCGUAAAGCGCGCGUAGGUGGCUUGAUAAGCCGGUUGUGAAAGCCCCGGGCUCAACCUGGGAACGGCAUCCGGAACUGUCAAGCUAGAGUGCAGGAGAGGAAGGUAGAAUUCCCGGUGUAGCGGUGAAAUGCGUAGCGAUCGGGAGGGAUACCAGUGGCGAAGGCGGCCUUCUGGACUGACACUGACACUGAGGUGCGAAAGCGUGGGUAGCAAACAGGAUUAGAUACCCUGGUAGUC